CGGCACCACACAGCUUGCAGAAGGCAGAGGUGCUCAGCUCGCUGCCCUGAUCCUGCACCCUGGGGAGCUGCUGGCUCCUGGAGAGGCUCUGCUGAGCCUGAGCUGAGCCUGCCUGGCAUGGCCACCGAGACAGGAAGGAGAGCUUUUGAGAUCCUCGUGCCAAUCUUGGCCGGCUCCAAGCAGCUCCACUUCUUCUUUCUGGUGUCCCACAGAAAGUCUCUGCUUCCUGCCUCAGUGAUGUGUCAGGGCCAGCUCAUUUAGCAGCCCCCCUGAUGCUGGCAUACUCGGAGCGUUCAGCACCAGGGCUCCCGCUGGGCCAUCGUGCUGCAGGCAGGGGCUGCAGGUCAGCGUAGUGGAUGUCCUUGUCCACCUCGCCGCUUUGCUGGUGGGGCAGCUUUGGGUUCUCUACAUCCUGGAGUUCACUGGGGGUCCCAGGGCUCCCUG
Molecule: long non-coding RNA, 444 nt
Filed under: Gallus gallus (chicken)
Lineage: Eukaryota; Metazoa; Chordata; Aves; Galliformes; Phasianidae
Source: RNAcentral